AGCUUGAAAAAACGGCCACUGCCGCCCGCAAUGUCUCGCUGUCUCGGUCGUGGGUUCGUUAUUCAGUUGUGUGUCAUUCUAAGCCGUUAUGUACAUUUAUACUGGAUAUUAACUGGAGUCAUUUAGCUGUGCAGAUGCUGUUUGCCCUGUGUUUUGCAUCCGUGCUUCGUGACAUCAGCUGUAUUGCGUGUUUUCGCCGACGGCUUACUACCACAAUGGCGGGAUCUGCGUUCGCCGCCUUCGUGUCUCGGUGCGUCUUUGUACGUCGCACGUUCGGAUAACACUUUUUCCGACGGCUGGACAUCCUUCUUGUACCUUGGCGCUAGCUGGAUGACGGGACCUCAUCAUGAUCAGUGUAUUGCUUGCCUAUGUCUACAAGAACCGUCACGCGUGGCCUGUGACAGCAAGCUUUUGUGGGCAGCAAGUGCUCUCCUACGAAGGCUGGCCUACUCUGGCAGCGGCGGCAAUCAUCUUCAAGAUUUAUCCAUGAUCACCUUUGCUGCUAUUUGUCACUCUUGUUAAUUGCACUUUCUGCAUCUUUUCUAAUUUAUUAGGUAAUAAAGUAUGAGUAUGUGACAUGGUGUGAA
Long non-coding RNA from Dermacentor andersoni, 587 nucleotides. RefSeq lists it as uncharacterized. The record is from RefSeq and is a predicted model, not a curated record. Lineage: Eukaryota; Metazoa; Arthropoda; Arachnida; Ixodida; Ixodidae.